This is a long non-coding RNA of Rosa chinensis, 644 nucleotides long. RefSeq lists it as uncharacterized. The transcript has 2 exons. Lineage: Eukaryota; Viridiplantae; Streptophyta; Magnoliopsida; Rosales; Rosaceae. The record is from RefSeq and is a predicted model, not a curated record.
GGGUUGCCCUAUUAUUCUUCCAUGGGAGAGUGAGCCUGUGCUAUUGGGUGCUGCCAUUCUUGGUGCUGUAGCUGCAAGGAAAUAUUUUAGUAUGCAUGAUGCCAUGAAGGCCCUGAAUGCUUCGGGGCAGGUCAUCCAUCCAUCCAAAGACCCUAAGGUGAAGAAGUACCAUGAUGCUAAGUACCGCAUUUUUGUGACCUUUAUGACCAGCAGCUAUCUCAUUGUUCGCUGAUGGCUGAAGCCUUGACAUAGGUUCUUGUGCCUCUUUGCAUCAGCAGGUGGCAGUAGGACAGUGGUUCUCUCACUCAAUAGAUUCAUUUAUGGGGCCAAUGUGCUUUCUAUAUCGGAAGAGAAAAUUCCUGGUGCUGUGAAGUUAUGUUGAAGAAAAUACACAUUUUUAUAUGUAAAGCCUCAACUUUUGCAACUCUUUGAAGGAAGUUUUUCAAAAGCCAAAACAAUGUACAGUAAAAGCAGUGCUAAAGAAAAUUGAGAAUUAGUACAGUUAAUAGUUUGAGGUUCAUCUGGUAAAAAAUUGUGUUCUGCCUUACUAUUGAUAAUAAUCUGUGUUACUAUUGAUAAUAAGCUUGAAUUAUUUGGAUUUUCUGCCACAUUCAUGAAACAAUUUUGAGGUUAAUUUUUAUUUU